UGACAGGAGAGUUAAUUCUGAGACAAGGAAAUCAUCUGCUUCUAUAUUCCAGAAGAGUUCUUAUUACUAUUCUCAGUAUUCUGAGACGAGGAAAAACUCUGCUGCUUCCAACAUCUCUUCAGAAAUCAAAUUUUGCAACAUGACGGUGUCGAAGCGUUUGGCGGAGAAGAAAGUGGCAAAGUUUGAGAAGAAUAUAAGCAGGAGAGGAGUAGGGCCCAUUUCUUCCAACAAGACCGCCUUGGAGCCUGCUCACGUUGUUCUUAUUCUCUUCGCCGUUUUGGUCGUCGCCUCCUUUAUCUUUCAGGUGGUGAGGAUGGCCAUCAAUGGAGGAAUUCCUGCAGAGCAAGAUUCUUGAGGAAUGGAAAACCCUCUUUUUUUCACUGACUUAAUAAUGUCACUGUCGCUUAUUCAACUACAUCUUUUUUGAUAUAAAAU
Salvia splendens (bonfire salvia) is the source of this 435-nucleotide long non-coding RNA. RefSeq lists it as uncharacterized. The transcript is spliced from 3 exons. The record is from RefSeq and is a predicted model, not a curated record. NCBI's taxonomy places the organism in Eukaryota, Viridiplantae, Streptophyta, Magnoliopsida, Lamiales, Lamiaceae.